AUACGGAGGGUGCAAGCGUUAAUCGGAAUUACUGGGCGUAAAGCGUGCGUAGGCGGCUCGUUAAGUCAGAUGUGAAAGCCCCGGGCUCAACCUGGGAACUGCAUUUGAAACUGGCGAGCUAGAGUAUGGUAGAGGGGGGUAGAAUUUCUGGUGUAGCGGUGAAAUGCGUAGAUAUCAGAAGGAAUACCAGUGGCGAAGGCGGCCCCCUGGCCCAAUACUGACGCUGAGGUACGAAAGCCUGGGUAGCGAACGGGAUUAGAAACCCCAGUAGUCC
Molecule: ribosomal RNA, 274 nt
Filed under: uncultured bacterium
Lineage: Bacteria
Description: partial 16S ribosomal RNA
Rfam family: Bacterial small subunit ribosomal RNA
Source: RNAcentral